CCGUCCUAUGGUCAACACUUGCUACAUGGCCGUACAAGAGAACCCACCUCGCGAGAGCAAGCGGACCUCAUAAAGUCGUCGUAGUCCGGAUUGGAGUCUGCAACUCGACUCCAUGAAGUCGGAAUCGCUAGUAAUCGUGGAUCAGAAUGCCACGGUGAAUACGUUCCCGGGCCUUGUACACACCGCCCGUCACACCAUGGGAGUGGGUUGCACCAGAAGUAGGUAGCUUAACCUUCGGGAGGGCGCUUACCACUGUGUGAUUCAUGACUGGGGUGAAGUCGUAACAAGGUAACCGUAGGGGAACCUGCGGUUGAAUCACCUCCUUA
This 326-nucleotide ribosomal RNA is filed under the name uncultured Shigella sp. Its description in RNAcentral is "bacterial SSU rRNA". It matches the Rfam family "Bacterial small subunit ribosomal RNA", at positions 1204 to 1533 of the family's 1533-position model. Lineage: Bacteria; Pseudomonadati; Pseudomonadota; Gammaproteobacteria; Enterobacterales; Enterobacteriaceae. The record is from RNAcentral.